AGUCUUAUAGUCAAAAUUUAAUGAUAUAAAAUUGCAAAUUUUAUGGUAUAAUUUAUUAUUAAGGCUU
RNAcentral lists this transfer RNA (67 nucleotides) under Dausara latiterminalis. RNAcentral describes it as "tRNA-Cys". Lineage: Eukaryota; Metazoa; Arthropoda; Insecta; Lepidoptera; Crambidae. The record is from RNAcentral.